AGUGAACGCUGGCGGUAGGCCUAACACAUGCAAGUCGAACGGCAGCACAGUAAGAGUUUGCUCUUACGGGUGGCGAGUGGCGGACGGGUGAGGAAUGCAUCGGAAUCUACUUUUUCGUGGGGGAUAACGUAGGGAAACUUACGCUAAUACCGCAUACGACCUACGGGUGAAAGCAGGGGAUCUUCGGACCUUGCGCGAUUGAAUGAGCCGAUGUCGGAUUAGCUAGUUGGCGGGGUAAAGGCCCACCAAGGCGACGAUCCGGAGCUGGUCUGAGAGGAUGAUCAGCCACACUGGAACUGAGACACGGUCCAGACUCCUACGGGAGGCAGCAGUGGGGAAUAUUGGACAAUGGGCGCAAGCCUGAUCCAGCCAUACUGCGUGGGUGAAGAAGGCCUUCGGGUUGUAAAGCCCUUUUGUUGGGAAAGAAAAGCAGCAGGUUAAUACCCCGCUGUUCUGACGGUACCCAAAGAAUAAGCACCGGCUAACUUCGUG
RNAcentral lists this ribosomal RNA (492 nucleotides) under uncultured bacterium. Its description in RNAcentral is "partial 16S ribosomal RNA". It matches the Rfam family "Bacterial small subunit ribosomal RNA", at positions 29 to 507 of the family's 1533-position model. The record is from RNAcentral.